CACAGAUCCCAGAGCCUCCACAGAUCCAGAGGAAAGUGACAACAUAAAGAAAGAUACUCAGCAGAAGCACAUCCGUAGAAGGAUCUGUGUAUCAGUAAUUU
Molecule: non-coding RNA, 101 nt
Organism: Neolamprologus brichardi
Lineage: Eukaryota; Metazoa; Chordata; Actinopteri; Cichliformes; Cichlidae
Source: RefSeq, a predicted model, not a curated record